Non-coding RNA from Pelobates cultripes (western spadefoot toad), 234 nucleotides. The record is from the annotation of a GenBank genome assembly. Lineage: Eukaryota; Metazoa; Chordata; Amphibia; Anura; Pelobatidae.
GGGUGACUAGUGACAGAGUGAGGAAGGGGGUGACUAGUGACAGAGGGAGGGGUGACUAGGGACAGAGUGAGGGAGGUGGUGACUAGUGACAGUCACCACCUCCCUCACUCUGUCACUAAUCACCACCUCCCUCCCUCUGUCACCAGUCAUCCCCUCAUUCUGUCACCAGUCACCCCUUCCUUCCCUCACUCUGCCACUAGUCACCCCUUCCCUCACUCUGUCACCUGUCAGCCC